GGUGCAAAGCCUAAGGGGUGGGGCUCCAAACCCAACUCCCCGACGCUGCGCUCUUUCUUCUCCAUCGUUUCCGUCUCUCACCCAGGUCACCAGCAUCCCCUGAAACUCCUGAAGGUUCUCGUGAAGGUUAGAACGACAAGAUAGAGUGAGAGAUCGCCACAGUUCGCCGAUCACUAGUAUUUCGUUCUUCGCCGGAGAACGACGAACACUCGAUCGCUCGGAGGAAACCACCACCGCCGACGAACGACAAGAUCAGUGACUGCAUUCGCAAUUCCAGAGUCUUCUCAUGUCGCUUUAAUUAUCAUGUCCUUGAAACCAUAUGCAUGUCAGCUUGCUUGUUUUCUAGUGGUGUUCAAGAGCAUGCAAAUUAGUCUCUCUCAUACAGUCAUAUUAAAAUAUGUAUGAUUGAUCUAAGCUUGACCAAUCGAUCACGCGAUCUGAAUUUGAUAUCAUGUUUGUGGGUUGCAGGGUCGAAGGAAGUGCGAUGUUGCUGCCACUGCUUGCUUUGUUUGUCGCAGCUCUCGUUCCAAUUGACGGAGUAUUGGCCUCCACUGUCCCCGCAUUCAUUUGGCCAUCCCAUUAUAAUUUUUUGGUAUCAAGAACAAGAACAGUGAAGUUCAGUUAAAGUUUGCAAAUGUUAUACUGGUUGAUGCGGAUGGAAACCAGAAAAGAAGAUGAUGCUCCUUGCAGCGAAGUCAAAGAAGAAAUUCAUUUAACUGCUUCUCAUGUGAAAAUUGCAGUGGGUGCAGGACAUUCAUCUGGGGUCUAAGCUUCUGCGAAAGAGCUGGAAGGGAGUAUGGAGGUCUAGAUUUUCCUGUGCUCAUUUUAACUGCUACCAGGUUCAGCAGAGCUGCAUCAACUGUGGUGUUUGCAUGAGCAAGUACUUUAGUGAGACAUGUAUCUAAGCAGCAGUACCAUUGCAGUGGCUGCGGAAUUUGCACGUAUGAACUGUUAAUAAGUUAACUAUAUAAGUUAUCUGAAAUAUCAAGCCCUUUGAUAUCAAGUCAGUUUGUGACAUGUCAAAGGUUUGGGAGAAAUUUGACUUGGAGAUUGCUGCUACACCAAUGCCUGAACCAUACCUUAGGAUUAUCUGUAAGCUAUGGGCUUCAUUCCCUUGCUUAUUGGACUUCAUUAGCAUAUAUGCAAGAAUUGAGCUUAAACGUGCUAAAGCUUUGGUCCAAGUCCUUACUUGAAAGAGCCUGUCAAACAAAUUGAGGACACAACUCAAAGGUUAGAUGCAUUCCUUUCACAACGCAAUUAAGUUUUCCUUAAUCUGGAGCCCGUGGUGAUUUUUCGAUAAAUUGUGGUGCUUUGCCGCUAUUUGGCAUUAAUGUUUCCUAGCUUGUUUGGUGUUGUUACAUGAAGUUUAAAAUCUAAUUUGUAGAGUAGUUUUAGUGUUUAUACUUCCAUGGUUUUCUGCUACUCUAGUUCUGAAACUAUACAAGGUAAUGAAUUGAGUGGUAAGAGCAUUAGUGCUCGUGUAAGUUUUAUGCAAGUAGGAAUUUGUGUUGCAAGUUCUAUUUUUUGGCA
Long non-coding RNA from Lotus japonicus, 1530 nucleotides. RefSeq lists it as uncharacterized. Lineage: Eukaryota; Viridiplantae; Streptophyta; Magnoliopsida; Fabales; Fabaceae. The transcript has 6 exons. The record is from RefSeq and is a predicted model, not a curated record.